RNAcentral lists this ribosomal RNA (497 nucleotides) under uncultured bacterium. RNAcentral's name for it is "partial 16S ribosomal RNA". It matches the Rfam family "Bacterial small subunit ribosomal RNA", at positions 28 to 507 of the family's 1533-position model. The record is from RNAcentral.
GAUGAACGCUGGCGGCGUGCCUAAUACAUGCAAGUCGAGCGAACGGACGAGAAGCUUGCUUCUCUGAUGUUAGCGGCGGACGGGUGAGUAACACGUGGAUAACCUACCUAUAAGACUGGGAUAACUUCGGGAAACCGGAGCUAAUACCGGAUAAUAUUUUGAACCGCAUGGUUCAAAAGUGAAAGACGGUCUUGCUGUCACUUAUAGAUGGAUCCGCGCUGCAUUAGCUAGUUGAUAAGGUAACGGCUUACCAAGGCAACGAUGCAUAGCCGACCUGAGAGGGUGGUCGGCCACACUGGAACUGAGACACGGUCCAGACUCCUACGGGAGGCAGCAGUAGGGAAUCUUCCGCAAUGGGCGAAAGCCUGACGGAGCAACGCCGCGUGAGUGAUGAAGGUCUUCGGAUCGUAAAACUCUGUUAUUAGGGAAGAACAUAUGUGUAAGUAACUGUGCACAUCUUGACGGUACCUAAUCAGAAAGCCACGGCUAACUACGUG